GAGCGAUGAGAGGAUGAAACCCUCCACGCGCGCGGGGAGAGUCAGCGGGGCACCGUGCAUCAAAAUACUAGUGCAGGUUGAAAGGAAAGGCGGCAAAAUAAGAUUUCUCUCUUCCUCUCACUUGGUCCUGGAGCUCUCUGCGGACAUCGUUCCAUGACUCCUUGAUGCCGUGCAGGCAUCCCCCAGGGAGGAGCAGGGAUGAGGUGGGGGUAACUGAGAAAGAGGUGGAGGUGGGGAUCUUAAGACAGACAGACCCAGGCACACUGACGCGUCGUGCUCUCAUUAGGGCAUUCCUCUCAGACGUUUGUCGGCUGAAGGAUGCCGGUGAGUCCGUCCAUCUCCCUCACAUGGUCGUUCUGGGGCCUGCGCAGCGCAUGCCUUGUUAAUCUUUUGACGGUCGAGCGCCUAUACGAAUGACGUCACAGCUUGCGAUGAACACGGGACACACGCGCCGCCGUAAGAGAUGCAUCUCAGACCCCGCCCUCUGAAAGCCUUGGCGUGGACGCGAGACGCCAGAGAGCCGGCAGACUAUUGCCGCCCCGCUCCCUUUGCAUGCUGAUCCGAUCCGUGGACCCGCUGAAUUAUUUAAUAACAGCAUCACCUCAGACAGACUGUCGUCACGCUGGAGUGCCAGUGUCAACACACUGAGUUCGGAGGUCACAGGUGUAAUGUUAUUUCUAAAGUCUGCAGCCCCCCCCUCCCAC
Long non-coding RNA from Esox lucius (northern pike), 704 nucleotides. RefSeq lists it as uncharacterized. Lineage: Eukaryota; Metazoa; Chordata; Actinopteri; Esociformes; Esocidae. The record is from RefSeq and is a predicted model, not a curated record. The transcript is spliced from 3 exons.